RNAcentral lists this ribosomal RNA (872 nucleotides) under uncultured archaeon. RNAcentral's name for it is "bacterial SSU rRNA". It matches the Rfam family "Archaeal small subunit ribosomal RNA", at positions 4 to 882 of the family's 1478-position model. The record is from RNAcentral.
CUGGUUGAUCCUGCCAGAGGUUACUGCUAUCGGGGUUCGACUAAGCCAUGCGAGUCGAAUGUAGCAAUACAUGGCGUACUGCUCAGUAACACGUGGACAACCUGCCCUUAGGUCGGGUAUAAACCCGGGAAACUGGGUAUAAUCCCCGAUAGGUCUCGGCUGCUGGAAUGCAUCGAGAUUGAAAGCUCCGGCGCCUAAGGAUGGGUCUGCGGCCUAUCAGGUAGUAGUGGGUGUAGCGUACCUACUAGCCUACGACGGGUACGGGUUGUGAGAGCAAGAGCCCGGAGAUGGAUUCUGAGACACGAAUCCAGGCCCUACGGGGUGCAGCAGGCGCGAAAACUUUACAAUGCUGGCAACGGCGAUAAGGGAACCUCGAGUGCCAGGUUACAAAUCUGGCUGUCGAGAUGCCUAAAAAGCAUUUCAUAGCAAGGGCCGGGCAAGACCGGUGCCAGCCGCCGCGGUAACACCGGCGGCUCGAGUGGUAACCGUUAUUAUUGGGUCUAAAGGGUCUGUAGCCGGCCGGAUAAGUCUCUUGAGAAAUCUGGCAGCUUAACUGUCAGGCUUUCAGGAGAUACUGUCUGGCUCGAGGCCGGGAGAGGUGAGAGGUACUUCAGGGGUAGGGGUGAAAUCUUGUAAUCCUUGAAGGGCACCAGUGGCGAAGGCGUCUCACCAGAACGGACCUGACGGCAAGGGACGAAAGCUAGGGGCACGAACCGGAUUAGAUACCCGGGUAGUCCUAGCCGUAAACGAUACUCGCUAGGUGUCGGCCACGGUGCGACCGUUGUCGGUGCCGUAGGGAAGCCGUGAAGCGAGCCACCUGGGAAGUACGGCCGCAAGGCUGAAACUUAAAGGAAUUGGCGGGGGAGCACCAC